AGUGGUCCGCGGACCACACUUUGAGAACCACUGCUCUAAAUUAGCAUAAUUAUUGAGAUUUUAAUUUCAGAAAUGUCCAAAUUCAAUGAAGAAUAUUAUGCAAAGAGAAGAAAGUUUAGAGUGCAAGUUAAGAAACAAAUGAACGCAAUAAAUGCUGUGCUUUUGAUCUUGAUUUGGGAAAUCUUAUUUGGCUACUUUUUUAAAUAUUUAUUUCCAUACAAGAGACAGAAAAGUCGGAGGUGGAGAGAGACGACAAAAAUACUCCCACUGAACCAAAAAGGAUACCAGUAACUCCUAUCAGAUUUCGGGAUGCACAGCUAACAGACAGCGAAGGAGAGAAGGAUGCUGAGGAAUCACUGUGAUUCAGUUAUGCAGCAGUGUGCUCUACCAUUGCCAUACUCUUUGCCGCCAGUGGUUGGCCAUCUCUAGGAUGUCCACAAGUAGCAGCUUUCGAAAAAGCCGGUGUUUCACCUUUGCCUUCACGCCUCCAGUACUUCCGAUUACAUUGUCUGGUUUUUGCCCUGCCAGCAUAGGGACCCAAAACCCUUCGAAGCUAAACUAGAGAAAUUUGUGAUGCAACAACUGUCUCUUCUGGAAAAGAUGAAUAAUCAUA
Pomacea canaliculata is the source of this 613-nucleotide long non-coding RNA. RefSeq lists it as uncharacterized. The transcript is spliced from 3 exons. The record is from RefSeq and is a predicted model, not a curated record. Lineage: Eukaryota; Metazoa; Mollusca; Gastropoda; Architaenioglossa; Ampullariidae.